Molecule: long non-coding RNA, 1689 nt
Organism: Oncorhynchus tshawytscha (Chinook salmon)
Lineage: Eukaryota; Metazoa; Chordata; Actinopteri; Salmoniformes; Salmonidae
Source: Ensembl
UGGGCAAGGAUCCAAUCUAAAGAUGUCAUUAGUGGUGAUAACAUGGGCAAGGAUCCAAUCUAAAGAUGUCAUUAGUGGUGAUAACAUGGGCAAGGAUCCAAUCUAAAGAUGUCAGUAGUGGUGAUAACAUGGGCAAGGAUCCAAUCUAAAGGUGUCAUUAGUGGUGAUAACAUGGGCAAGGAUCCAAUCUAAAGAUGUCAUUAGUGGUGAUAACAUGGGCAAGGAUCCAAUCUAAAUACGUCAUUAGAGUGGUGAUAACAUGGGCAAGGAUCCCAUCUAAAGCGUGGUCAUUAGGGCUGAUAACAUGUGCAAGGAUCCCAUCUAAAGCCUUGUCAUUGGGGAUGAUAACAUGGGCAAGGAUCCCAUCUAUAGCGUGGUCAUUAGGGCUGAUAACAUGUGCAAGGAUCCCAUCUAAAGCCUUGUCAUUGGGGAUGAUAACAUGGGCAAGGAUCCCAUCUAUAGCCUGGUCAUUAGGGCUGAUAACAUGUGCAAGGAUCCCAUCUAAAGCCUUGUCAUUGGGGAUGAUAACAUGUGCAAGGAUCCCAUCUAAAGCCUUGUCAUUGGGGAUGAUAACAUGGGCAAGGAUCCCAUCUAUAGCCUGGUCAUUAUGGAUGAUAACAUGGGCAAGGAUCCCAUCUAUAGCCUGGUCAUUAUGGAUGAUAACAUGGGCAAGGAUCCCAUCUAUAGCCUGGUCAUUAUGGAUGAUAACAUGGGCAAGGAUCCCAUCUAUAGCCUGGUCAUUAGGGAAGAUAACAUGGGCAAGGAUCCCAUCUAUAGCCUGGUCAUUAGGGAUGAUAACAUGGGCAAGGAUCCCAUCUAUAGCCUGGUCAUUAGGGAUGAUAACAUGGGCAAGGAUCCCAUCUAUAGCCUGGUCAUUAGGGAUGAUAACAUGGGCAAGGAUCCCAUCGAUCGCCUGGUCAUUAGGGAUGAUAACAUGGGCAAGGAUCCCAUCUAUAGCCUGGUCAUUAUGGAUGAUAACAUGGGCAAGGAUCCCAUCUAUCGCCUGGUCAUUAGGGAUGAUAACAUGGGCAAGGAUCCCAUCUAUAGCCUGGUCAUUAGGGAUGAUAACAUGGGCAAGGAUCCCAUCUAUCGCCUGGUCAUUAGGGAUGAUAACAUGGGCAAGGAUCCAUCCAAUGCUUUUCGCUUUAUCUUGUGUAAAUAUUUGCCCUGCACACUUCCAUCACCUGGCUUGGAUGGGGUGAGCCUCAGUAUCAUUCCAACUGAGUUAACAAGAUGUUAGAUCACAGUAGAGAUACUGAAGACAGUGUGGUGGAGGAGGAGGAGGAGGCUGAUCACAGUAGAGAUACUGAAGACAGUGUGGAGGAGGAGGAGGCUGAUCACAGUGGAGAUACUGAAGACAGUGUGGUGGUGGAGGAGGAGGCUGAUCACAGUAGAGAUACUGAAGGCAGUGUGGAGGAGGAGGCUGAUCAUAGUAGAGAUACUGAAGGCAGUGUGGUGGAGGAGGAGGAGGCUGAUCACAGUAGAGAUACUGAAGACAGUGUGGUGGAGGAGGAGGAGGAGGAGGCUGAUCACAGUAGAGAUACUGAAGGCAGUGUGGUGGAGGAGGAGGAGGCUGAUCACAGUAGAGAUACUGAAGACAGUAUGGAGGAGGAGGCUGAUCACAGUAGAGAUACUGAAGACAGUAUGGAGGAGGAGGCUGAUCACAGUAGAGAUACUGAAGACAGUGUG